AGAUGCUUGUAUCUGGGACCCCCUGCCAUUUCUCAGGACACCCUCCUGCUCCUAGCUGGGAGAUCCAGCAUCCUCAUGAAUGCGGGGCCCAAGGCCACCAACUGUUCCACCUGCUGUCAGCCAGGCCUGUUGCCCCAGCCCUACACCCACAGCUCACCCAGCAGGGACUGGAGUGUGCUGCUGCACUGCUGGAGCCGGUCGCCCGGGUCGGAGGUUGGGAAGAAGACAGCCGCUGGCAGGCCACUGGUUGGGGGGUCCAGCCGGAAGCCCACAGCGGUGAGGAGGGCCUGCCAGCCAGGGAUGCCGCCCACUUUGUUCUCCACACUCUGCUGGGAUGUGUACAUGGCAUUGCGCUGCCCAUUCUGGAUGCGCUGCAGGGAUUUCUCCACCUGAGGGGGAAUUGGGGUAAACACUGGGAUGCCGGAGCUCAGGCAUCCCAGACAGGAGGAAGUGUGUACUCACACCAGCCAGGAGGAAACAAGCCUGCCUGGGAGGACAGACGAUCAGCCCUGGCUGUCCCUCAGGAGCGGGGGGCCUCCAAGGCACACUGCCCACUGGGUCAAGGAGUAUCCAGGAGGAGUUAGAAGCAUGACCCAUCUGCCUGGCACCAGCACCUGGGGCUGCCAGGCAGCCACCCCUGCAGCUGUGUUGACAGGACCUGGCAGAGGGACUGACCCACCUUUGGAAAAUGACACCAGCAAUAUCAGGAUGUGUCAACUGGAUUUAUGCUAAGAAAAUAGGAUUUUUGGUGUUCCUCUGUUUCCCAAAGUUUGAGACACUUUCAGACACUCUGCUUUGCGGUUGUGGCCGAUGUUACCCAUGGGUGGGACUUUUGCUUUGCUCUAGAUUUUUGUAACACCCUGGGGAGUUUCAGGGGCCAAUGCUGAGAGAAGACCACAGGCUGACACAUCAUGAGGUAUGUUGGUAAAACAGUCCCGGCUGGCCGAGAGGCCACUGAGGGAACAGGCCCAGGGUUUGGUUUGUACUCUGUGAGUCUUGGCCUGGCAGGGUUUCCUGCAAAGCAGAGUCCUCUGAGUGGGACCCCAGGGGAAGCAGGUUGUUGCCUGGAGCUGAGGGGCAGCUCUGUAUUCAGGAGGGGUGCCUGCCUUCCCAUCUCCCCUGUGACCAGAUGUCACAGAAACAUUCUCUCUUUACUCCCUAGACCCUCUGGGCAGGUCCACUAAGAGCAUGUAUUCUAGAACAUGCAGGGCUUGAAGCUUCACAAGAUAUUCAGUGCACUCCUUACAGAUCCUGUCAAAUGUGGACCGGGUGGUGUCAUCGCACCACCAUCAUCCCCUUGUUACCCCUGAGAACACAGCUUCAGAGAGGGUAAGUAACCUAUCUCAGGCCACACAGCCAGGACAUGGAGUAGAUCCAUCCUAAGUCUUUCUACCACACACUCCUUUCUACAGUCAUGGGUUAAAUGAGGGUGCCAUGGAAUGGGUCAUCCAGUGUACACUGACAUCAGGAGGAGUUUCACAUUCAUACACUCAUGGCAAAUGGUUCUGUUGCUCCCUGGUCCAAAGAUGAUCUUAAUAGUAGGAAAAACUCAUUUGGCAGAAGCAAGACUCAGCACACAGGCUCUCUCCCUGAGUCUUCUGUGGCUGGCCUUGCCCUGCCCUCCCCUCCCCAACCCCACUGGCAGAAUAAAGUCGGGGGGCUGUGAGGACUGAGCCCCAGGCCUUGACAGGCACCCGCAGCCAGCCGAACUCCCACCUGCCCAGUUGGAGGGGUGCGAGAAGGCCUUGCUGCUCUGCACCACCUUCAUGGCCUCCCCCAGGGCGGCGCUGGCUUUCAGGCCGUUCAGCAGGGAUGAGUAGAAGGCAUGGAUGAACAUCUUAGAAGCAGCCACUGGCACAGGCCACAGAGACACGAGGACACACUGAGCGCCGGCAGCCAGGAAGGCCCUUGUCAGCGCGAUGACCCCGUCGGCUGUGACUUUGCUGUUGGACUCCUGGGAGGAGCCAAGCACCACCAGCUUCACAGGCAGCUGCAGGUCCAGGACGUCGGCGGCAGUGCCUAACUUACUGAGAAUCAUGCCUGCUGUGAUGAGCCCUUGGAAACCAUCAGGACUGGAUGGUAGGGGUCCUGAGAGGAUUGGGGGAGGAGGCCUUGAUAUGACAGAGUGGACAGAGGCCGUGGAACCCAGGACAGCCAGCCUGCUCCACAAUCCUCAUCCCCACAGACCUUCAUGUGUGGCUCCUAAAUAAGAGGAAACCCACUCCUGAUAAGUCAGGGGCUUUGAAAAGUGAUUUUGUUUAAAUGGUGCAAACAAGCAAGCCAAUCUUGGGGAGACAGGGCUAAACUUAAGUCCUUUAAGAAGCUCUACAUACUGACAAGAUUCUAGUUCCCUUCCACCUUAUAUGCUGCAAAGUAAAAAGUAUCACUGAAUGAGAAAAUCAGCAUAAAGAAGCCCAAUAAUGUCUGCCUGAGUUUCCCCUAUGAUGACUUUUGGUACUUUUUGGGAAACAUUAAGUAUGAAGUUAUUUCAAAAUAAUUUUUUGGUGCCUCUGCUUGGUGAUGCCUUAAACUCUGGGUAAGAGAAACACCAGGUGCCUGUCAGGAGAUGGCCUUUUCCAGGUUUCUGGUUAAGCUACAAACAGCUAACUGGCUGCUGUCAUCAAAAUAAAAGCUUUCUGAAGGUGGAGGCAUCUGAUACCCAGAGUGCUGCUAUCAGCCGGCACGGUGGGCCGCUGGGUGGCAGGAGCGUCGAGAAGGCCAGCUCGCUUCCUAUCUGGGAUUCAGAAUCAGCUAUGGAAACUUGAGAGACCUAGAGAAAAUAACUUCUUUCACUUUGAACUGAUUCUUUGCUUCAUAAGAAAAGUAUUAUCCAGCCACAAAAAUGGUCAAAAUUCAGAUCUACAAAAGCCUGUCAGGCAGAAACUGACCCCACUUAGGCCACGCCAAUGAGCAAGUCAUCAAAGCAGCCAAGACAGGUCCUGUGGGGGCCACCCAUGCACAGGGCCCAGCCUCGGGUCCUAACCCCGCCUAUGCUUUCCGCCACCAUAAAGAGGCCCAUCUGGGUAAGACCUGUCCCGCCUGCUGUGGGGUAUUAGGGCAGAUGGGGUCUGAGGGGUCUGAGGGCUCUGAGAGCAGCUGGCAGCUCAAGGACAUCCGGAGUUGGAGGAUGGAGCAAUGCAGGCCCUUGUGGUAAAGACAGUCCUGCAGCCGCGCAGGCAGGGAUGCUGCAAGUGGAGUGCCAGGCGGGUGCGGAGCCCUGUGGGACUGUGGAGGGGUCAGAGGGAAGCCAGGAUUUUGGGGUCUCUGAGAGUUUGGAGAAGGGGAAGAAGAUUAAAGCUUGUUUCAAAAGUUUCUAAUCAGGUGGGCAGGGCCAAGGGUGGCUGUGGGGUGAGACCCAUGACUCAGGGUGGCCCACUGUUACUCUAUUGAUUUUUGGGCGUUUUUUUCCAAAUUGAUUAUUCUUGCUGAAUGAGACCUGAGUCCUUGACUGUCCCCUUAAAGCCACCUGACUUGUUUUCAGUUCCACUGGCCUGUCGGGCUGUUUUCUACUCAACUCCACUCUUGCUUGUCUGCCCUCCCUGCCUGGGGCCCAGCCAGCAGUCAGCUCAAGGGCCAGAUGAAUUGGGUGGCUGUGCUCUGCCCACUGGGCAUCGUGUGGAUGGUGGGUGACCAGCCCCCUCAGGUGCUCAGCCAGGCCUCAAGCCUUGCUGUGUACCUCAGAGCAGCUCCGUACCCUGAUGUCACAGCAAAGAAACUUAGACAUGACACAAACUGUGGCUUCCCAAGGCAGCAAAGAAUGGCCAGGGGUCAUGAGGGCCGUGCCCCACUUUUGGACAGACCUACUCUAAAGUCACGCUACCUGCGUGCAAAUCAUAAAAUCAACACUUUUGAGGAGAUCACAGCUAUGCCUUCGUAACACAGCCCAGUCCGACCAGAUAGACGGUGCCUCGUGACCCGAAAACAAGCCCCCGGCCCCCCACCAUGUGUGUGAGCCUUACCUUGGACUGCACGCUGAGGGAGCGGAUGGAAGGGACAGCAAGGAGGCCGAAGCGCUCGUAGAGGUACUCAUUGGAGGAGCUUCCCUUCAGGAGGGCGAAAGGAAUGAGGUAGAGCUCCCCCUCCAGAACCAGGAUGAGCUGCCGGUGCCGGCCCACGGGGCCGCUGGAGUGCAUCAGGCCCUAUGGAGCAAGCACGGAGAGGCUGACAUGGGUGGCCCAGCAGGCAGGGGUUUCAGGCACCAGGACAACCCUGAGCCCUAGCCUGGAUGACACAAGCACGAGCAGGUGAGGCCUGUGGGGGUGUGGGGCGCCAUGGGGCAUGGGCCGAGUUGCAGCCCUGCAGGAGCGGCACCAACUGGCAUGCUCGCUUGUGGACUGGCAAGGGCUGGCCUGGCAGCAUCCAUCUGCCUCACAGUCCUGAGAAGGUUAGAGGACAGUUUCUUGAAGUUCACAAGAACCUGAAGUGGGUUGGAGACCGGUCUGUACCGCACAGGCACCCUGAGAAGGGGUGGGAAUGGCCCCUCUCAAAACAAGAUCUGUUUUCCAUUUCAAUGGACAAGAGGCUAGAAAAUCACAGUGAGGACGGGAGGUCUGGGGGCUGGCAUGACAGCCCCUGUAGAAGGGGAUGGGCUGGGUUCUAGGAUCUUCCGUGACCUCCUCUGAGAAAGAGUGGCCCCUUGGCUCUGGGCUUGGGAGGUGCCGUCCCCACUUGUUCCCUCUGGGGAUGUCAGGGGACCCAAUGCAUGGAUGACUCCCAUCCCUCUUGAAAGGCCGAGCAUGAGGACUCGAGGCAGGGUGUGCACAGGGCCACAGCGGACACAGCCUCAUUCCUGUUCAUUGCAGAACAAGGCUAAGGGCGCGGGCAUCUUAAUGAGAGCAGCAGGCAACAAUCCUGGAAGCUGGGUCCACACAGACUGCGGUGAACAAAGAGGUGGCGUGGAAGCUGCUGCUGCAGCCCAGAGCCUGCCAAGAAGGUCCCAGGUCCACAGGGCCUGCGCAACACUGGGUGCCAGGGGUGGGGCUGGCCUGCCCCCCAACCCCAUCUGCUGAGGAGUGGCUGACAAGCGGACACCCACCAGGGUGCCACUCGCUUGUGCCUGGGGAAGCAAAUGUGCUCGCUUGACCCGUCUGAUGUGCUGCCGUGGGCACUUGACUGAGAGUGGCAGAGCACUAGGCUAACCCAAAGUGACACAUGCCUGGCGGGAUGUUCAGUCUCUG
This 5177-nucleotide long non-coding RNA is filed under the name Homo sapiens (human). Its description in RNAcentral is "long non-coding RNA NONHSAT084639.2". The stretch from base 408 to 588 matches the Rfam family "TTC28 antisense RNA 1 conserved region 3". The record is from RNAcentral. Lineage: Eukaryota; Metazoa; Chordata; Mammalia; Primates; Hominidae.